AUGACAUGUCGUCUGAUCAGGAGGUGGUGGUGUGCUGUUCUCCUGGACAACUUCACUCCACAAAUCUCUCAACCACGAAGGUGGGGCUUCACCAUCAAAAGACAAUGUCUUUAGGCAGAGUCCAGCGAAGCAGAGUAUGCAGUUGUGACAACAAUCUAUCAGAUGGUUUAGGGAUGUGGUCACUCAAGAAGUUUUUCGGAAAGCAGCACACUUUGCCUGUUUAGACAGUGUGGCCAACUGGAAGAAUUUCACUCCCAUCUACCGGAAAGAGUUCAGAUGCAUGUACAGCUUCAGGGAAUGCUUGCAGUGCAGAACCCUUUUCCAGUCAUACCCACCAGAGUAUAGGGGAAGAGGCCGACAUGGUGAACUUCUGGGCUUUUACUCAGAUGUUUACACAGGAUUUUGCUCCCAGAACUGUUUUU
Molecule: long non-coding RNA, 422 nt
Organism: Cyprinus carpio carpio
Lineage: Eukaryota; Metazoa; Chordata; Actinopteri; Cypriniformes; Cyprinidae
Source: Ensembl